GAUGAAGAACGCAGCGAAAUGCGAUAAGUAGUGUGAAUUGCAGAAUUCAGUGAAUCAUCGAAUCUUUGAACGCACAUUGCGCCCCUUGGUAUUCCAUGGGGCAUGCCUGUUCGAGCGUCAUUAUCCUCCCUCAAACCCCGGGUUUGGUGUUGGACCCAAGUUGUGUGAACAACUGGUCUCAAAGACAAUGACGGCGUCCGUGGGACCCUCGGUGCAACGAGCUUUUAGGAGCACGCAUCGAGUUGCAAGGACCUUCCGGGCCGGUCUCCUUUACCAUUUUACAAGGUUGACCUCGGAUCAGGUAGGAAUACCCGCUGAACUUAAGCAUAUCAAUAAGCGGAGGA
This 344-nucleotide unclassified non-coding RNA is filed under the name soil metagenome. RNAcentral's name for it is "partial contains 5.8S ribosomal RNA, internal transcribed spacer 2, and large subunit ribosomal RNA". The stretch from base 1 to 120 matches the Rfam family "5.8S ribosomal RNA", at positions 35 to 154 of the family's 154-position model. The record is from RNAcentral.